GAAUACAUACAAGGAUUUUUUUAAAAAAUGCAACUCAAGAUGCUGAGACAGAUUUGUUGCAAGUUUCCAUCUUUUGUAAGGUUGGACGUUGACAAAACACUGGCAGUCAUAGUUUUGUUUCGGAUUUGGGGAGGCCAGCUUGCUGAAGAUCCGAAGGCCUGGCUCAGUUGAUCUGACAGUCCCAUGUUCCAUGCUGGAAGAAAGCCAGACUGUCUGGGAACUAUGUCAUACAUCUACACAAGCGAGACCCAAGGAACAGAAGGGUCAUAUAACAUCCUAUUGAGGUGACUGAAACAUGGUCUUGCAUGGUUACUUGGGAGAUACCCCUGGUAUAUAUCUCAGCUCCUGCUCAGCCAAUGUGAUGCCAUCAAGCCUCACUUCUUGAGGUUC
This is a long non-coding RNA of Ahaetulla prasina, 390 nucleotides long. RefSeq lists it as uncharacterized. The record is from RefSeq and is a predicted model, not a curated record. Lineage: Eukaryota; Metazoa; Chordata; Lepidosauria; Squamata; Colubridae. The transcript is spliced from 3 exons.